CCUUAACGAGAAUCUGAUAUGGUUCCAGUCAGACCAGAGGGAAAAGACGCUAAUACAGCUUCGCAACC
RNAcentral lists this microRNA precursor (68 nucleotides) under Nematostella vectensis (starlet sea anemone). RNAcentral describes it as "mir-9437 microRNA precursor family". It matches the Rfam family "mir-9437 microRNA precursor family". The record is from Rfam by way of RNAcentral. Lineage: Eukaryota; Metazoa; Cnidaria; Anthozoa; Actiniaria; Edwardsiidae.